Molecule: ribosomal RNA, 2296 nt
Filed under: human gut metagenome
Description: bacterial LSU rRNA
Rfam family: Bacterial large subunit ribosomal RNA
Source: RNAcentral
ACUGUGAAGGAAAGGUGAAAAGAACCCCGGGAGGGGAGUGAAAGAGAACCUGAAACCCUGUGUCUACAAGCUGUGGAAGUACUUCUUAGGUACGACCGCGUACUUUUUGUAGAACGGUCCGGCGAGCUGCGGGUACUGGCAAGGUUAAGUACUUAAGGUACGGAGCCGUAGGGAAACCAAGUCUUAAUAGGGCGAAUCAGUCAGUACGUGCAGGCCCGAAACCGGGUGACCUAUCCAUGUCCAGGUUGAAGCCGCCGUAAAAGGCGAUGGAGGACCGAACCCACAUCCGUUGAAAAGGGUGGGGAUGAGGUGUGGAUAGCGGAGAAAUUCCAAUCGAACCCGGAGAUAGCUGGUUCUCCUCGAAAUAGCUUUAGGGCUAGCCUCAUACAAGUCUGCCGGAGGUAGAGCACUGAAUUUCCGCGGGGGCGUCAAAGCCUACCAAAGAAUAUCAAACUCCGAAUGCCGGACAGAUGGUGUAUGGGAGUCAGACUGUACGAGAUAAGUUGGACAGUCAAAAGGGAAAGAGCCCAGACCGCCGGCUAAGGUCCCAAAGUGGGUGUUAAGUGGAAAAGGAUGUGGGAUCUCUAAGACAACCAGGAUGUUGGCUCAGAAGCAGCCAUUCAUUAAAAGAGUGCGUAACAGCUCACUGGUCGAGAGGUCCUGCGCCGAAAAUGUCCGGGGCUGAAACACCACACCGAAGCCGCGGAACUCGUAAGAGUUGGUAGAGGAGCAUUCUUAGGGGAGGGAAGCAUUACCGGAAGGGGAUGUGGACUGCUAAGAAGAGAGAAUGCCGGAAUGAGUAGCGAGAGCAAGGUGGGAAUCCUUGCGGCCGAAUAUCCAAGGUUUCCAGAGUAAAGCUGAUCUGCUCUGGGUAAGUCGGGGCCUAAGGAGAGGCAGAGAUGCGUAUCCGAUGGACAGCAGGUAAAAGAUUCCUGCACCCCUUGUUAUCAGAACUGCGGGGACACGGGAAGGGAAGCAGAGCCGGGAAUGGAAAGCCCGGUGCAAGCGAAGUAGUCGCAGGAUUGGAAAAUCCGUCCUGCAUGAGACGAAGGCGUGAUGCGGAGCGAAACAAAGUAGCGAAGCUGCGGCCCCUUCCUGUCGAGAAAAGCCGCUAUCGUGUAGCAAGGGCCCGUACCGUAAACCGACACAGGUGGAUGAGGAGAGGAUCCUAAGGCCGGCGGGAGAAGUGUUGUUAAGGAACUCGGCAAAAUGACUCCGUAACUUCGGGAGAAGGAGUGCUGCGCAAGCAGCCGCAGAGAAAUGGCCCAAGCAACUGUUUAGCAAAAACACAGGUCUAUGCGAAACCGAAAGGUGAGGUAUAUGGGCUGACGCCUGCCCGGUGCUGGAAGGUUAAGGGGAGAGCUUAGCGCAAGCGAAGGUUUGAACUUAAGCCCCAGUAAACGGCGGCCGUAACUAUAACGGUCCUAAGGUAGCGAAAUUCCUUGUCGGGUAAGUUCCGACCCGCACGAAAGGCGUAAUGAUUUGGGCACUGUCUCAACAACACACCCGGUGAAAUUGAAAUACCAGUGAAGAUGCUGGUUACCCGCGCCAGGACGGAAAGACCCCAUGGAGCUUUACUCCAGCCUGAUACUGGGAUUCGGUAUUGCAUGUACAGGAUAGGUGGGAGGCUAAGAACUUAUGGCGCCAGCCGUAAGGGAGCCAUUGUUGGGAUACCACCCCUGCAGUACUGGGUUUCUAACCUGCGCCCGUGACCCGGGCGGGGGACAAUGUCAGGCGGGGAGUUUGACUGGGGCGGUCGCCUCCGAAAGGGUAUCGGAGGCGCUCAAAGGUCUCCUCAGGAUGGUUGGAAACCAUCCAGAGAGUGCAAAGGCAGAAGGAGGCUUGACUGCGACACCGACGGGUGGAGCAGGUACGAAAGUAGGACUUAGUGAUCCGGUGGCAUAACGUGGGAUUGCCAUCGCUCAACGGAUAAAAGCUACCCUGGGGAUAACAGGCUUAUCACUCCCAAGAGUUCACAUCGACGGAGUGGUUUGGCACCUCGAUGUCGGCUCAUCGCAUCCUGGGGCUGUAGUAGGUCCCAAGGGUUGGGCUGUUCGCCCAUUAAAGCGGUACGCGAGCUGGGUUCAGAACGUCGUGAGACAGUUCGGUCCCUAUCCGGCGCGGGCGCAGGAUAUCUGAGAGGAGCUGUCCUUAGUACGAGAGGACCGGGAUGGACCGUCCGCUGGUGGACCGGUUGUCAUGCCAAUGGCACGGCCGGGUAGCCAAGACGGGAAGGGAUAAACGCUGAAGGCAUCUAAGCGUGAAGCCCCCCUCAAGAUGAGAUAUCCAGACUCGA